Non-coding RNA from Elaeis guineensis (African oil palm), 997 nucleotides. The record is from RefSeq and is a predicted model, not a curated record. Lineage: Eukaryota; Viridiplantae; Streptophyta; Magnoliopsida; Arecales; Arecaceae.
GUUAUAUAUGUUUCUUUCAUGGAGAGUCAUAUCGAAAAUAAGGUAGUUGGCCACGAGAUCCAAGGCCCAUCUUUGACAGCUAUUCAUCAAGUUCAGGUUCGAGAUUCUGACCCAGUUGCUAAGAAAGAUUGCUGCCUUUUCUCUUCUGCCAACAUCCACCAAUGGGACCCCUCCGCCCCACCCACCUUGUGGAGUCUAUGAGGAUUUGGAUUAGUCUUCAGAUUAAAGAAAGAGAUGCCCACUCUUGUCAAGAUUAAGCUUCAGAUGAAUUGAAAAAAUGCCGAACCUCCUUUUUCCCUCUCGGAAGGAAAGAUAACUACCCUUUACCAUCAGCCCAGAACGAGAGGAAAUAUUGGUAAAUAAUUUUAUCUGGCUUUCUUGUUCCAUUAUUGAUGUAAAUUUUGAUUUCUUUUUCAUUUCCUACGCAAAGUUGUACAUGUAUGACCCUUGAUCCUCUCACACUGCAAGAUAAUAAGCUCAGUGAUAUCGAAAUACACAUUUGCAAAUGGACGUGCUAUAGAUAACUCAUAGUCCCUAUACUUCUUCCCAAAGAAGUUCAGGGAAUCUAUUAUGAUUUUUUUUCAGGGAAAUUAUUACGAUGCAAUUGUCCAUAUUUUACCCCUUCUUUUCACCAGAAGAGUGGUAAUGUCGCCAGACAUUUCAAUAAAAAAAUAAAUGGGAUCUGUUCAUGAUCAUCUGAGUUAUCAAUAUGCAUCAACCCUUAGUCUGCACUAACAAACAAGAAUCUGAAGACAAUCAUGGAGACUGCAAUUGCACAAGAAAACAUUAGAAGUUCAAACAUGGAAUAGAUACAACUGAGAGCUGCUCAGAAGGAUGAAAUCAAUGUCUUAAAGACUAGCACAAGUUGUCAUACAGCUGAAUGAAAAAAGAAAAAGGACAGUACAUUCGUUAAUCAAUUCUCAAUUAUGAUAUUAAUAUGGCGGUCAAAUGGAUGAUGGUUACUUUAUUUCACUCUAUUUUAGUGAUUUGACCAGAA